Molecule: non-coding RNA, 159 nt
Filed under: pig gut metagenome
Source: RNAcentral
AGGUGUCUGGCUUCACGGCCAGACUUAAUAGGGAAUCAGGUGAGAAUCCUGAACAGUCCCGCUGCUGUAAGUUUCUACCACAGCUGCCCAUUACGCCACUGACGAAACACGUUGGGAAGGCGGGUAGCCGAAACGAGUCAGAAGACCUGCCUGUUUGUA